GCUGUCGCCCAGCGUUUCUCUGGAGGGAGGCUGGGAAGGCUUUGGCGGCUUGGGAGACCAUUAAACUUAAACACAACUGGGAGUGUGGCAAAUCACAAAGUUGGUAUCAGACUGAGGCCCCUGUGAAUGGCAAGUAAAACCACCGUACUGUCAGGAAGAACCACAGGAAUCUUUAUCUGAGCUUUUAAACCAGUGCCAAUAUGGCAGAUCCUGACGAAUAUGAUGAUUAUGAUGAUGAGGAGGAGGAGGAGGAGGAGGAAGUUCUGGGAGAGUAUGUUGAGCAGAUU
Molecule: long non-coding RNA, 287 nt
Organism: Nematolebias whitei (Rio pearlfish)
Lineage: Eukaryota; Metazoa; Chordata; Actinopteri; Cyprinodontiformes; Rivulidae
Exons: 4
Source: RefSeq, a predicted model, not a curated record